This 577-nucleotide ribosomal RNA is filed under the name uncultured bacterium. Its description in RNAcentral is "bacterial SSU rRNA". It matches the Rfam family "Bacterial small subunit ribosomal RNA", at positions 214 to 783 of the family's 1533-position model. The record is from RNAcentral.
CGCGCUAUCAGAUGAGCCCAUGUCGGAUUAGCUAGUUGGUAGGGUAACGGCCUACCAAGGCGACGAUCCGUAGCUGGUCUGAGAGGACGGCCAGCCACACUGGGACUGAGACACGGCCCAGACUCCUACGGGAGGCAGCAGUGGGGAAUAUUGGACAAUGGGGGAAACCCUGAUCCAGCGACGCCGCGUGUGUGAAGAAGGCCUGCGGGUUGUAAAGCACUUUCGGUGGGAACGAAAUAUGCCGGGCCAAUACCCCGGUAGGCUGACGUUACCCAAUGAAGAAGCACCGGCUAACUCUGUGCCAGCAGCCGCGGUAAUACAGAGGGUGCGAGCGUUAAUCGGAAUUACUGGGCGUAAAGCGCACGUAGGCGGCUUCGUAAGUCGGAUGUGAAAUCCCCGGGCUCAACCUGGGAACUGCAUUCGAGACUGCGAUGCUUGAGUAUGGGAGAGGACAGCGGAAUUCCGGGUGUAGCGGUGAAAUGCGUAGAUAUCCGGAGGAACAUCAGUGGCGAAGGCGGCUGUCUGGCCCAAUGCUGACGCUCAGGUGCGAAAGCGUGGGGAGCAAACAGGAUUAGAU